Molecule: long non-coding RNA, 1209 nt
Filed under: Anas platyrhynchos platyrhynchos (common mallard)
Lineage: Eukaryota; Metazoa; Chordata; Aves; Anseriformes; Anatidae
Description: lncRNA (ENSAPLG00000019745.1)
Source: RNAcentral
AUGCUUCUUCCACCUGCCAUGAGUAACAGCAACCUCAAAAGCUGCAUCUUCUCCUUAGCUUGGUUCUACAGCACCACAUCACCUACCAGCCAAAGUGGAACCUCUGUCCCAGCUGGGAGAACAGACCUCUUUAUCAACUGGCCAUGGUUAUUCCCCCAUGCCCCAGACCUCUCAUCACUCCUCAGGCAGCCCAACCUUCCCUGGAGCACUGCUGAGGAGCUCUGCGCAGCACCCAGCCCAGCAGCUGAGCUUCCUGACAUAGCAAGCAAGAGGGAGCUGGUCACCAUGCUGGAGAUGUAUUGUGGGCCGCAAAACCACAUAAACCAUCCUAAAAGCAAAGGCAAUGUCACAUUUUGUCCUUAACUCAAUAGGCUCUCAGCAAGGAAAAGGAGGCAGCACCUGCACAUGUACAGUUGGAAUAGGCCAACACCAUCUUCCUAACCUUGUGGUACCAGAAUUAUGGGCUUGCUAGGGCAGAGCUCUCCAUUGUAAAAUAUGAUCUUUUGCCAUAGGAAAGUAGAUGAAGAUUCAGAAAAGAAUCCCUUAUUAAUCAAUAUCUGAUCUCUUUAAGCAAACCAUUUCCAAAUUUAGGAGCUCUGCUAGCACCGGGAGACCCAGUAGGGCUUACAGCAGCAGUUAUGCAGCACUGAAUGCCACCAACACGAGCUUAAUUUACUGAGCCUGUAGAAGGAGGAGGGUGAAAUCAGACUGUGGCACAAAUCAUGUUACUCUUGUAAGUUUAGUUUGCCAGACACAAAGAUCCUUCCAGCCAGGUAACCUAGUGCUAUAAGCUAACAUAUGUCAGCCUGCCAUAGACCCCCAAUUUAAAGUUUCCAUUCGGCUCAGUGGGAAUUAAUUGUUAGGUUCUGGCUUCUUCUGUUUUCUUGUUAAUGUCAAACACCCAUCCAGUGAGAGCUGCAAAUAAUACCCUCCUAAGGGUAAAUUGUGAGCUCAUUGCUCGUUUAAGUCACAUUGAGUGAGAAUACUCCCUAGCUGUGCUCUGUGAAUCAAAGACAGAGCAUAUGCAAUCAUCUGAAGCAGCAGCAGCCGCUGCAUUUCCCAGAAAGCUUUGGGAAACCUGACACAAUUACCGAUCAAUACCCUCUCCAGUUAAUUGAUGGGCCAUGGAGCCAAAAGGGGAGAAAAAAAAAGAAAGAAAAGAAAGAGGCUAUCAAUAAAUAAUCUCAGUUAGGAAACUGAGGUCUGAGA